UCGAGGGGUAUAAGUCUUCGGAUUUAGAGACCGGCGCACGGGUGCGUAACGCGUAUGCAAUCUGCCUUACACUAAGGGAUAGCCCAGAGAAAUUUGGAUUAAUACCUUAUAGUAUAUGACUGGGGCAUUCCAGACAUAUUAAAGUUCCAACGGUGUAAGAUGAGCAUGCGUCCCAUUAGCUAGUUGGUGUGGUAACGGCACACCAAGGCUAUGAUGGGUAGGGGUCCUGAGAGGGAGAUCCCCCACACUGGUACUGAGACACGGACCAGACUCCUACGGGAGGCAGCAGUGAGGAAUAUUGGUCAAUGGGCGCAAGCCUGAACCAGCCAUGCCGCGUGCAGGAUGAAGCAUCUAUGGUGUGUAAACUGCUUUUGUACGGGAAGAAACCCUGCCACGUGUGGCAGAUUGACGGUACCGUAAGAAUAAGGAUCGGCUAACUCCGUGCCAGCAGCCGCGGUAAUACGGAGGAUCCAAGCGUUAUCCGGAAUCAUUGGGUUUAAAGGGUCCGUAGGCGGUUUUAUAAGUCAGUGGUGAAAUCCGGCAGCUCAACUGUCGAACUGCCAUUGAUACUGUAGGACUUGAAUUAUUGUGAGGUAACUAGAAUAUGUAGUGUAGCGGUGAAAUGCUUAGAUAUUACAUGGAAUACCCAUUGCGAAGGCAGGUUACUAACAAUAUAUUGACGCUGAUGGACGAAAGCGUGGGGAG
This 705-nucleotide ribosomal RNA is filed under the name uncultured Bacteroidota bacterium. RNAcentral's name for it is "bacterial SSU rRNA". It matches the Rfam family "Bacterial small subunit ribosomal RNA", at positions 62 to 768 of the family's 1533-position model. Lineage: Bacteria; Pseudomonadati; Bacteroidota. The record is from RNAcentral.